Molecule: long non-coding RNA, 333 nt
Filed under: Ananas comosus (pineapple)
Lineage: Eukaryota; Viridiplantae; Streptophyta; Magnoliopsida; Poales; Bromeliaceae
Description: long non-coding RNA (ACOM_LNC027446)
Source: RNAcentral
CAGAAAUCAUCCAGAGUAAUGAUCUCUCUCCUGAUCAGAAGAUCCGCCGGCACCCAUUCCGGUAAGAAAAUCGCGAAAUCCCUAUCGCGAUAUCGCGCGACAGCGAAGUCAUCGACGUACCCUCCGAAACGGCUGGCUAGUGCCGUCUUAAUGCGUGUGAUUGGAUCCCGGCCAAGAUUAGCCGGUCGAAUGACGUCCGCGAGGACGGCAUUUCGGCGCAUCUCGACUCUACGCAGAUAUUCUUCAGUAUACGGCACAAAAACCUUCGAACGCGGCGGUCGCCCCCUCAGAUUGGCUGCUCUCUCCAUGGCUGCUUCGGACGUGUCCAAUUUU